UCACAGCCACUAUUCCGGAAAAAUUGCUGAGUCUCUCAUUGUUGCGUAUUUAAUUAUGAAAUAGAUCAAUUGGACUAUCAACGCUGUACCUUUCCGUGUAUAGUCUAUCGAGCAGUAUAAACGAGUCAUUGUCUGUAUGAAAUUUUAGCUUGUACUGACUUAGUGCUUUUUAUGUGGCCUGUCGUAACACGAGGCAAAUCUCUCGAUGAGUUGAUGUGCCCCGUGGAAGACCUCUGCUUACCCCCAGGGGUACACGAACCGGUGGGUGAGAACCACGGUUCUAAGGCAGCUCCAGCCCUGGUGCCAUGGGGGAGACGUGUCCUCGCGGCCCUGCCUGACAGGUCUUUCUGUUUCAGAUCCUUGUCCUAACUGCAGGAAAUGUAACUACAAGACAUGUACAAUUGUGCUCGCAGUCGCCCUCGCAACCAUGUUCUUAGUUCUCAUCAUUGUCCUGGCAGUGUGGAGACCUAAGCUUCCGUCAGCUGAACCGGGGCCCGUUGCUGGAUCGGAUACCGAGGGAAAUGCUACUAUUUCUCUGAGGCCGAAAGGAACUGGACCUACAGCCUGACCUACUGCUCUGCGCUCAGCGCCUCCCUGGCUGAGAUCAACAGUGAGCAGGAAAUGGCUUUCGUGCUGUGCUAUAAAGGCAGAUUUGACCACUGGAUUGGCCUCCGGAGGGACCCUGGGCAGCUCUGGAAAUGGGCCAAUGGCACCAAAUUCAACAACCUGUUUCCAAUAGGAGAAGGAGGAACUGCGCGUAUCUGAACGGUGUGAGUGCGGUCAGCAGCUUGCAAUGCACCAGUGAGAGACACUGGAUCUGCACCAAACCCGAUGCAUUUACACAGGCACAGGAGGCUGCAGUGGAAGGGGGCUGGUAACAAGAGU
Molecule: long non-coding RNA, 885 nt
Organism: Chelonia mydas (Green sea turtle)
Lineage: Eukaryota; Metazoa; Chordata; Testudines; Cheloniidae
Exons: 4
Source: RefSeq, a predicted model, not a curated record